CCUCGGGUGGCUGCAGUGGGGAAUAUUGGACAAUGGGGGCAACCCUGAUCCAGCCAUGCCGCGUGUGUGAAGAAGGCCCUCGGGUUGUAAAGCACUUUCAGUGAGGAAGAACGCCUGGUGGUUAAUACCCAUCAGGAAAGACAUCACUCACAGAAGAAGCACCGGCUAACUCCGUGCCAGCAGCCGCGGUAAUACGGAGGGUGCGAGCGUUAAUCGGAAUUACUGGGCGUAAAGCGCGCGUAGGUGGCUUGAUAAGCCGGUUGUGAAAGCCCCGGGCUCAACCUGGGAACGGCAUCCGGAACUGUCAAGCUAGAGUGCAGGAGAGGAAGGUAGAAUUCCCAGUGUAGCGGUGAAAUGCGUAGAGAUCGGGAGGAAUACCAGUGGCGAAGGCGGCCUUCUGGACUGACACUGACACUGAGGUGCGAAAGCGUGGGUAGCAAACAGGAUUAGAUACCCUAGUAGUC
Molecule: ribosomal RNA, 464 nt
Filed under: Vreelandella stevensii
Lineage: Bacteria; Pseudomonadati; Pseudomonadota; Gammaproteobacteria; Oceanospirillales; Halomonadaceae
Description: partial 16S ribosomal RNA
Rfam family: Bacterial small subunit ribosomal RNA
Source: RNAcentral